RNAcentral lists this ribosomal RNA (400 nucleotides) under Tachysoniscus cf. austriacus. RNAcentral describes it as "partial large subunit ribosomal RNA". It matches the Rfam family "Archaeal large subunit ribosomal RNA", at positions 2004 to 2636 of the family's 2987-position model. Lineage: Eukaryota; Metazoa; Arthropoda; Malacostraca; Isopoda; Trichoniscidae. The record is from RNAcentral.
UCAGAUCAUGUGAUCUGACUUGUUGUAAGGUAGCAUAAUCACUUGUCUUUUAAUUCAAGGCUAGAAUAAAAGGAAUAACGAGAGGUUAACUGUCUCUACUUACUAUUUAAACUUCUUUUCAAGAUAAAAAACCCUUGUUAUUUUAAUAGGACGAUAAGACCCUGAAAUCUUCUUGACUUUUAUUCUAUUAUAGAUUAUGACUUAAAUAUAAGUAUACUGGGGCGGUAAUUUCUUUAAACAGGAUGUCCUAAACCACCGUGAGUGUUCUUUACCAAACCUUAAAGCAAACAAUCAGAUACUUCAGGGCUAACAGCGUAAUAUUUCUCAAGAGUUCAGAUCGCCAGAAAUGAUUACGACCUCGAUGUUGAAUUGAAUUCUCCUCCUCAAGCAGCUCUGAUUA